Molecule: ribosomal RNA, 558 nt
Filed under: fungal sp.
Lineage: Eukaryota; Fungi
Description: eukaryotic LSU rRNA
Source: RNAcentral
CGUAACAAGGUCUCCGUUGGUGAACCAGCGGAGGGAUCAUUACCGAGUUUACAACUCCCAAACCCCUGUGAACAUACCACUUGUUGCCUCGGCGGAUCAGCCCGCUCCCGGUAAAACGGGACGGCCCGCCAGAGGACCCCUAAACUCUGUUUCUAUAUGUAACUUCUGAGUAAAACCAUAAAUAAAUCAAAACUUUCAACAACGGAUCUCUUGGUUCUGGCAUCGAUGAAGAACGCAGCAAAAUGCGAUAAGUAAUGUGAAUUGCAGAAUUCAGUGAAUCAUCGAAUCUUUGAACGCACAUUGCGCCCGCCAGUAUUCUGGCGGGCAUGCCUGUUCGAGCGUCAUUUCAACCCUCAAGCACAGCUUGGUGUUGGGACUCGCGUUAAUUCGCGUUCCYCAAAUUGAUUGGCGGUCACGUCGAGCUUCCAUAGCGUAGUAGUAAAACCCUCGUUACUGGUAAUCGUCGCGGCCACGCCGUUAAACCCCCAACUUCUGAAUGUUGACCUCGGAUCAGGUAGGAAUACCCGCUGAACUUAAGCAUAUCAAUAAGCGGAGGAA